UGGGGAAUAUUGCGCAAUGGGGGAAACCCUGACGCAGCGACGCCGCGUGUGGGAUGAAGGUCUUCGGAUUGUAAACCACUGUCGCGAGGGACGAAGCUCUGACGGUACCUCGAAAGGAAGCACCGGCUAACUCUGUGCCAGCAGCCGCGGUAAUACAGAGGGUGCGAGCGUUGUCCGGAAUCACUGGGCGUAAAGGGCGCGUAGGCGGCCCGGUAAGUAGGGGGUGAAAUCUCAUGGCUCAACUGUGAGGCUGCCUUCUAGACUGCCAGGCUUGAGCACAGUAGAGGCGAGUGGAAUUCCCGGUGUAGCGGUGGAAUGCGUAGAGAUCGGGAAGAACAUCGGUGGCGAAGGCGGCUCGCUGGGCUGUUGCUGACGCUGAGGCGCGAAAGCGUGGGGAG
RNAcentral lists this ribosomal RNA (398 nucleotides) under uncultured bacterium. RNAcentral's name for it is "bacterial SSU rRNA". It matches the Rfam family "Bacterial small subunit ribosomal RNA", at positions 355 to 768 of the family's 1533-position model. The record is from RNAcentral.